Molecule: ribosomal RNA, 379 nt
Filed under: uncultured eukaryote
Lineage: Eukaryota
Description: partial 18S ribosomal RNA
Rfam family: Eukaryotic small subunit ribosomal RNA
Source: RNAcentral
CAAUAGCGUAUAUUAAAGUUGUUGCAGUUAGAACGCUCGUAGUCGGAUUUCGGGGCGGGGCGACCGGUCUGCCGAUGGGUACGCACUGGUCGGCGCGUCCUUCCUUCCGGAGACCGUGCCUACUCUUAACUGAGCGGGGGCGGGAGACGGAUCGUUUACUUUGAAAAAAUCAGAGUGUUUCAAGCAGGCAGCUCGCUCUUGCAUGGAUUAGCAUGGGAUAAUGAAAUAGGACUUUGGUGCUAUUUUGUUGGUUUCGAACACCGAAGUAAUGAUUAACAGGGACAGUCAGGGGCACUCGUAUUCCGCCGAGAGAGGUGAAAUUCUCAGACCAGCGGAAGACGAACUACUGCGAAAGCAUUUGCCAGGGAUGUUUUCACUG